AAGAGAACUCUUCUGCUUUCCGCUGCCGUUUUGCCUUUUCCCCUAAACAAAACCUCGAGGAACUUACCAGAAGCACAGACGAAAUAGAAGCAAAAACUUUUCAGUACGAUAGAGAUGUCGAAAACACUGGUACAGCCGAUAGGCCAAAAGCGACUUACGAAUGUCGCCGUUGUGCGUCUCAAGAAGCACGGUAACCGGUUUGAAAUCGCCUGUUAUAAGAAUAAAGUCCUCUCAUGGCGUUCUGGCGUAGAGAAAGACUUGGAUGAAGUGUUGCAGUCACAAACUGUAUACUCAAAUGUGUCUAAGGGUGUACUUGCUAAGUCUAAAGAUUUAAUUGCUGCUUUUGGAACUGAUGAUCAGUCCAAAAUCUGCUUGGAGAUUUUGGACAAAGGAGAGCUGCAAGUUGCAGGAAAGGAGAGGGAAUCACAGUUUUCAAGUCAGUUCAGGGAUAUUGCUACUAUAGUUAUGCAGAAGACAAUCAAUCCUGAAACUCAGCGACCAUACACAAUUAGCAUGAUUGAGCGGCUGAUGCAUGAAAUCCAUUUUGCUGUUGAUCCAAAUAGCAGCUCAAAGAAACAGGCACUAGAGGUCAUCCGGGAGCUUCAAAAGCACUACCCCAUUAAUCGGGCUCCCAUGAGGCUGAGGAUACAUGUACCGGAACAGAGGAGCCCUUCCGUGUUGGACAAGCUGAAGGAAUGGAACGCCUCCAUUGUCUCAAGAGAAGAAUCUGGAAGUCAGCACUCCAUAAUUUGUGAGAUUGAGCCUAGUCUUUUCCGGGACUGUGAUGCCUUGGUCAGGAAUUUACAGGGGAGGUUGGAAAUUCUUGCAGUCAAUGUACAUGUGGAAGGAGAUACCUUUGUUGAUCAGUACGAUGAUCACGAGGACGAGCCAUCGAGUUUACGGAAGGAUUCUACAGGUUCAGUCCUUCAGCUGAGUGAGAAAAUGCAAAAGCAGACCAUUUCUUCAGAAAGUGGCAAUUCCAGGGGAGAAGUAAAACUUAACAAACCUGCCAAAGCUGGGAGUUCUGAGGGUGAAGUAAAACUGAACAAGUGCACUACUUGCAACGCUGUUGUGGGAGAUUCAAAAGAAUACAGAGAGCAUUUUAAGAGUGACUGGCAUAAGCAUAAUCUUAGGCGUAAAACUAGGCAACUCCCUCCACUUACAGUGGAAGAAUGUAUGGCAGACCUGGAACUUGGAGACUCGAAGGCUGAUCUUAAAGAAUAUUCAUUUUAAGGCUGCUGCAGUGGACAGAAUACUACAAUGUUAGAGCUGAGGCGUAAUGACCAGAUUAUGGUCUAAAUCAUAUUGAUAAUGGUUGCUCAAGCUAGAAUUUAUCUUUCUACUAAGAGGAUUCCUUAUGCAGAAUGACACCUGGUUGUUGUAAUGUAACACGGUAGAUAAUAGUGCAUAAAUGGUCCCCACUAUCUGCAUUAAGUUGAGCCAUAGUAAAUUGUUUUGAUGCAACUGUUGCUAAUGGUCAGGAUUGAUACUGCACAAGUGAGGCAUGUUGUGUUAUGCAUCCAUAGUGGCCGAAUUUUCGUUAAGAAAUCUGUGAGAGGUAUUUUGUUUGGCUAACAGGUAUAUUGUGGUGCUUUAUUGUACAUGAACUGGUUUUCCGUUUGACAAGUAAUUGUUGGAUUGAACUAAGCUUGUACAAUGAUAAUUGUUAAUACCAUCUGGUAUAGCUAGUGAAUGUGGUAAAGGAUAUUUUAACG
Molecule: RNA transcript, 1715 nt
Organism: Nicotiana attenuata
Lineage: Eukaryota; Viridiplantae; Streptophyta; Magnoliopsida; Solanales; Solanaceae
Gene name: ribosome maturation protein SBDS
Exons: 7
Source: RefSeq, a predicted model, not a curated record